UCUCGCGUAGUAUACCGGCUAGUAUACUCCGCUUUCACAUUACAAGCUGACCCGGAGAGAACCGGGUUCGAUUCCCGGCGCGAGAA
Molecule: non-coding RNA, 86 nt
Organism: Naematelia encephala
Lineage: Eukaryota; Fungi; Basidiomycota; Tremellomycetes; Tremellales; Naemateliaceae
Source: the annotation of a GenBank genome assembly